UAACGCGUAUGCAAUCUGCCUUCCACAGAGGGAUAGCCCAGAGAAAUUUGGAUUAAUACCUCAUAGUAUAGCCAAACCGCAUGGCUUUGGCUAUUAAAGUCACAACGGUGGAAGAUGAGCAUGCGUCCCAUUAGCUAGUUGGUAAGGUAACGGCUUACCAAGGCUACGAUGGGUACGGGUCCUGAUAGGGAGAUCCCCCACACUGGUACUGAGACACGGACCAGACUCCUACGGGAGGCAGCAGUGAGGAAUAUUGGUCAAUGGGCGCAAGCCUGAACCAGCCAUGCCGCGUGCAGGAUGACGGUCCUAUGGAUUGUAAACUGCUUUUGUACGGGAAGAAACACUCCGACGUGUCGGAGCUUGACGGUACCGUAAGAAUAAUGAUCGGCUAACUCCGUGCCAGCAGCCGCGGUAAUACGGAGGAUCCAAGCGUUAUCCGGAAUCAUUG
Molecule: ribosomal RNA, 448 nt
Filed under: Flavobacterium sp. FlavoEI_XT4r3BG11_H05_40
Lineage: Bacteria; Pseudomonadati; Bacteroidota; Flavobacteriia; Flavobacteriales; Flavobacteriaceae
Description: bacterial SSU rRNA
Rfam family: Bacterial small subunit ribosomal RNA
Source: RNAcentral